GUUGAUGCCCCCAAUGUUUAUCCCCCACCACAUCCCCGUGUACCAUCUAUCAAAGCAAAUGAGGUUGAGUUGUAUGCCCCCAAUGCUUCUAGCCAACCACCAACUAGCCAAGCAAAUGAAGUUGAGGUGAUUGCUAGUGACGGAGUAAUUCAAGAGGAUGAAGAUGCUUAUGAUGACGACGAAGAGCAAGAGGAAGGGUUUCAUGGUAAUGAUGUUGGUGACUUGGAUGCGUACAUAGCGCAAAAGGACAUGGAUCGUGACUUGCCUUUUAGGCGUCAAUAUGCGUAUGACUCGGAUGACGAGGGUCCAGCUGAACAGUUGGACGAGGAUGGAUUCACAAAGGAGGAGAACCAAAUCCACUUUGAGCUGACGGGCUUACAAAAAAGAACUCACUUGUUUAAAGAUCUCAGCCUU
Molecule: ribosomal RNA, 414 nt
Filed under: Triticum aestivum (bread wheat)
Lineage: Eukaryota; Viridiplantae; Streptophyta; Magnoliopsida; Poales; Poaceae
Description: partial small subunit ribosomal RNA
Source: RNAcentral